This 242-nucleotide ribosomal RNA is filed under the name uncultured Actinomycetales bacterium. Its description in RNAcentral is "partial 16S ribosomal RNA". It matches the Rfam family "Bacterial small subunit ribosomal RNA", at positions 88 to 334 of the family's 1533-position model. The record is from RNAcentral. Lineage: Bacteria; Bacillati; Actinomycetota; Actinomycetes; Actinomycetales.
UGCUCGAGUGGCGAACGGGUGAGUAACACGUGGGUGAUCUGCCCUGCACUUCGGGAUAAGCUCGGGAAACUGGGUCUAAUACCGGAUAGGACCAUCGUUUAGUGUCGGUGGUGGAAAGUUUUUCGGUGUGGGAUGAGCUCGCGGCCUAUCAGCUUGUUGGUGGGGUAAUGGCCUACCAAGGCGUCGACGGGUAGCCGGCCUGAGAGGGUGUACGGCCACAUUGGGACUGAGAUACGGCCCAG